AUGAAGAAAUAUUUCUUCGGCUAUGGAUCCUUCUCUAUUAAGGACGGCUCAGAAAUUAGAUUCUGGGAGGACAAGUGCCUAGGAAAUACCACACUCCGAGAACAAUAUCAGGCUCUAUACAACAUUGUGCGCCACAAGGGUGAUACUAUCGCCACGGUAAUGGAAUCAUUUCCGCCUAAUGUGACGUUCAGAAGAAAUUUAGUUGGACCCAGACUCCAGUCGUGGAACAUCCUGCUCCAACGGUUGUCCAUGGUGCAAUUGUCACAUGCGUCUGAUGUAUUCCGAUGGAAUCUCCAUGGGAAUGGACAAUUCUCAGUUGAGUCCAUGUAUAGAGCGUUAAUCUAGUCUGAUAUGCCAGUUGAUAAUAACAAGAAGAUCUGGAAGAUGAAGAUACCCCUUAAGAAUAAAAUCUUUGCAUGGUAUAUUCAUCGCGGAGUCAUUCUUACAAAAGAUAACCUUAUUAAGAGGAAUUGGCAAGGAAUUUCGCAAUGUGUCUUUUUUCACCAUGAUGAGACAAUAAAACAUUUAUUCUUCCAAUGCAAUUUGGCUCGUUCUGUAUGGUCAGUCAUCCAAAUAGCUUCUGGGUUGUAUCCUCCUUGUAGUGUUGCUAAUGUAUUUGACAUCUGGUUAUAUGGGAUUGAUCACAUGUUUACAACUCUUCUCAGGGUGGGAGCGCUAGCCGUUAUUUGGUCGCUUUAG
Molecule: ribosomal RNA, 699 nt
Filed under: Triticum aestivum (bread wheat)
Lineage: Eukaryota; Viridiplantae; Streptophyta; Magnoliopsida; Poales; Poaceae
Description: partial small subunit ribosomal RNA
Source: RNAcentral